RNAcentral lists this ribosomal RNA (253 nucleotides) under uncultured prokaryote. RNAcentral's name for it is "partial 16S ribosomal RNA". It matches the Rfam family "Bacterial small subunit ribosomal RNA", at positions 524 to 776 of the family's 1533-position model. The record is from RNAcentral.
GACGGAGGGUGCAAGCGUUGCUCGGAAUCAUUGGGCGUAAAGGGUGCGUAGGCGGCUUUUUAAGUCUGACGUGAAAGCCCAAGGCUCAGCCUUGGAAGUGCGCCAGAAACUGAAAGGCUAGAGUGCCGGAGGGGAGAGUGGAAUUCCUGGUGUAGCGGUGAAAUGCGUAGAUAUCGAGAGGAACACCUGCGGCGAAGGCGGGUUGCUGGGCCGACACUGACGCUGAUGCGCGAAAGCCAGGGGAGCGAACGGG